This 465-nucleotide ribosomal RNA is filed under the name Vreelandella stevensii. RNAcentral's name for it is "partial 16S ribosomal RNA". It matches the Rfam family "Bacterial small subunit ribosomal RNA", at positions 338 to 795 of the family's 1533-position model. Lineage: Bacteria; Pseudomonadati; Pseudomonadota; Gammaproteobacteria; Oceanospirillales; Halomonadaceae. The record is from RNAcentral.
CCUACGGGUGGCAGCAGUGGGGAAUAUUGGACAAUGGGGGCAACCCUGAUCCAGCCAUGCCGCGUGUGUGAAGAAGGCCCUCGGGUUGUAAAGCACUUUCAGUGAGGAAGAACGCCUGGUGGUUAAUACCCAUCAGGAAAGACAUCACUCACAGAAGAAGCACCGGCUAACUCCGUGCCAGCAGCCGCGGUAAUACGGAGGGUGCGAGCGUUAAUCGGAAUUACUGGGCGUAAAGCGCGCGUAGGUGGCUUGAUAAGCCGGUUGUGAAAGCCCCGGGCUCAACCUGGGAACGGCAUCCGGAACUGUCAAGCUAGAGUGCAGGAGAGGAAGGUAGAAUUCCCGGUGUAGCGGUGAAAUGCGUAGAGAUCGGGAGGAAUACCAGUGGCGAAGGCGGCCUUCUGGACUGAUACUGACACUGAGGUGCGAAAGCGUGGGUAGCAAACAGGAUUAGAUACCCUUGUAGUC